CCCACUGUGGCAAUGCUUAUACAAGAUUAGCAUUGAUUUUGCUACAAGAUGCUACAAAUAAAGCUGCUUAAAUUGAGUGGCACGGUGCAGACAAGCAAAGCACAUAGGUCUAUACAACUAAGUGGGGAGGAGGCGGGAUAUCCCACAGAUGCUGAGACUUCGGAAGUCUUUUAAGCCCAGAUCAUCAGCCUCGGCAGUGCCAAGUCCAAACUAAAUGCCUUGGGGACAUUUUCAAGCACCCAUAAACAAAACCAAUAGACCUGUUAGAUGUUGCACUGUUAAAAUAUAUCUACUGUGGAUGAAUGAGAGAUCAAGAGGCAAGGAAAUGGGAUUCAAGGGAUCCUGACACCAGCCAAAGAAGACAUGGUCAGAGUCACUGACAAAGACUGACUUACUUAGCCAUUGUACACAUUCUUCACUGGAGGAGGGAAGAUGUGUUCAGA
Molecule: long non-coding RNA, 443 nt
Organism: Lutra lutra (Eurasian river otter)
Lineage: Eukaryota; Metazoa; Chordata; Mammalia; Carnivora; Mustelidae
Exons: 3
Source: RefSeq, a predicted model, not a curated record